UAAUCACUUAAAAUGGCCACACACAUUAAAAAAAAAAAAAAAAAAAGAAAAGAAAAGAACAACAAAAACCAAAGUGGUCCACAAAACAUUCUCCUUUCCUUCUGAAGGUUUUAUGAUGCAUUGUUAUCAUUAACCAGUCAUUUACUAUUAAACUUAAAUGGCCAAUUGAAACAAACAGUUCUGAGACUGUUCUUCCGCCACUGAUUAAGACUAGGGUGACAGGUAUUAGGGACAAUAUUCAUUUAGCCUUCUGAGCUUUCUGGGCAGACGUGGUGACCUUGCCAGCUCCAUUGCUUUGAUGAUACCCACAGCAACUGUCUGUCUCAUAUCACAAACAGCAAAGCGACCCAGAGGUGGGUAGACUGAGAAGCUCUCAAUACACAUGGGCUUGCCAGGAAUCAUAUCAACGAUGGCAGCAUCACAAGACUUCAAGAAAGUAGGGCCAUCUUCCAGCUUUUUACCAGAAGUGCUAUCAAUCUUUUCCUUCAGCUCAGCAAACUUGCAUGCAAUUUGAGCCAUGUGGCAAUCCAGUACAGGAGCAUAGCCAGCACUGAUUUGGCCUGGAUGGUUCAGGAUAAUCACCUGAGCAGUGAAGUCAGCUGCUUCCAUUGUUGGGUCGUUUUUGCGGUCACCAGCAACGUUGCCAUGACCAACACCAGCAGCAACAAUCAGGACAGCACAGUCAGCCUGAGAUGUCCCUGUAAUCAUGUUUUUGAUGAAGUCUUCAUGUCCUAGGGCAUCAAUGACAGUCACGUAAUACUUGCUGGUCUCAAAUUUGCACAGGGAGACAUCAGCGGUGAUACCAUAUUCACACUCAGCUUUCAGUUUAUCCAAGACCCAGGCAUACCUGAAGGAAGUCUUUCAGGACUUUCUGUAGUCUGAUUCACGGGCUAGAUCAGCAUUUCCACAUAUUUCUGCAUAGUUCAGCCCUUACCUUCCUUUUAAACAUUUAGCAUUAAGGUUACAUUUCAUACAUCCAAAGGAGCAAUGAUUUGAACGAUGGCAUGUUGCUCAUUUAAAACCUGGGAGAUCAGAAGACAGUGCGGUAACAUCUUUAAAGUGCUGAAAGAAAAGAACAGCCAACCUAGAUUUUUACAGCCAAUGAAAAUAUCCUUUAAAGAUACAGAUGCAGCUAGUAUGAACCUCCUCCACAGAGAGGAACCAAAAUGGCAAGUGGAUAUUCACAUUUCAAAUUGA
Molecule: long non-coding RNA, 1197 nt
Filed under: Papio anubis (olive baboon)
Lineage: Eukaryota; Metazoa; Chordata; Mammalia; Primates; Cercopithecidae
Description: lncRNA (ENSPANG00000041283.1)
Source: RNAcentral